GUUGCCUCUGUGUUUGUAGUUGUGGCCUUUCUAGUGACAUCUGAGGUGCAUGUAGGCUAAUAGUUCUUUGUUGUACAUUAGCUAUAGGCAUUUGCGAAGAUCGAAUAUUACCAUAUGUUACACCUUGGAUUCUUGCUGCAGUGGCACUCUGUUGAUUGUAUUCCGUCGAUCCAGAGAAAAAGUAAUUAUUUCUAUUUACUGCUGGUUCUGAGGCGGCAGAUGAUUGUGAAUGCAUAGGAUUUGCAAGGACCGUCUGGUUUAUACGAGGAUUUAGCAGAGAUGGUCGAUGAUCAUUUCCAUAAGACCCUGCAGCUUCCUGA
This 320-nucleotide unclassified non-coding RNA is filed under the name Hevea brasiliensis (rubber tree). The record is from RNAcentral. Lineage: Eukaryota; Viridiplantae; Streptophyta; Magnoliopsida; Malpighiales; Euphorbiaceae.